This 420-nucleotide ribosomal RNA is filed under the name bacterium. RNAcentral's name for it is "partial 16S ribosomal RNA". It matches the Rfam family "Bacterial small subunit ribosomal RNA", at positions 355 to 776 of the family's 1533-position model. The record is from RNAcentral. RNAcentral also lists the same sequence under 1 other name.
UGGGGGAUAUUGCACAAUGGGCGAAAGCCUGAUGCAGCGACGCCGCGUGGGGGAUGAAGGCUUUCGGGUUGUAAACCUCUUUCGCUAUCGAACAAGGCCCGCUUAGGGUGGGUUGAGGGUAGGCGGAGAAGAAGCGCCGGCUAACUACGUGCCAGCAGCCGCGGUAAUACGUAGGGCGCGAGCGUUGUCCGGAAUUAUUGGGCGUAAAGGGCUUGUAGGCGGCUUGUUGCGCCUGCUGUGAAAACGCGGGGCUUAACUUCGCGCGUGCAGUGGGUACGGGCAGGCUUGAGUGUGGUAGGGGUGACUGGAAUUCCAGGUGUAGCGGUGGAAUGCGCAGAUAUCUGGAGGAACACCGAUGGCGAAGGCAGGUCACUGGGCCAUUACUGACGCUGAGGAGCGAAAGCAUGGGUAGCGAACAGG